AGAUGGAGAGAGAGAAAGAGACAGAAAGACCUUCAGUUUCCCCUAACUCUUGUGAUAAACUAUGAGGUUCACAAAUGUAUUCUGAACUUCGAAGUGGCCAAACAGGGAAACAUGAUCAAGUAUUAGUAUCCAAAAAGUAAAACAAAUUAGUUGCAUAGAAGGGACACAACUUCUCCUAACAUUGAGACUUAAGAUAUAUUUUUAAAUGGGUCUUUGUAAAGAGUGCUUUUGGAGUGAUUUCAUGAUCGUCAUUCUAAACAACACUCCUGAAAUAAAUAGAAAACGGAGCACUGUAUAACUCUUUUGCUGUAAUUUUUCUCAGUGUAAACCAGGGCAUAAUGCCAAGUACAAGUCAGUAAGAGAAAUGUACAAAGAUUCAAAGACUGGCUUAGAAAAAGUUGGCUUUCUAACUCUCCUAAUAAAAUGACUAUUUAAAAAAAAAUUUCCCACACAACACAGAUGUAUAAAAUGACUACAUUUAAAUGCGGGCCUUCUGGAGAUACCUUAGCCGAAAGGUACACUUCUAACAGUAGGAAGCUUGGCACCUUGGUAACAGAUUCCAAUAGAAUCUGUUGGAAAUUCUACUGGGGGAAGGUGAUAUGGCUUUGUGGCUACUCCUAUGCACUGGAUUCCAUCCUUUCUUACCUACCCACGGACUUUGCUCCUCUACUUAGCUUUGUGCCUAUAUACCGGCAACUGAAAUCUGUCCUAGGGGCACUCAUAGACAUAUGAACUCCAGCUCUUCAGGCCUCUCUUCGAGAACACCACCUCUAACUCAUCAGGCAUCUGCCAGUCAUCUACUAAAGAGCUCUGCUUUGAAAAGACUCCUCAUCUACUGAGCUAAGAAAUACAAGUACGUAUAAAGGCAUACCUUGGAGAUACUGUGGGUUUUGUUCCAGGUCACCAAAAUAAAACAAACAGAGCAAUAAGGAAGCUACUGGAAGAUAUGCUCCACCAAAAUGAAGAAUAAAAUCGAGAAAGAAUAUGACAUGAGAUGAAACACAAAAGAGGAGGGACAGGAACUCCCAGGAGAACAAGGUGGUAAGCCUUCAGAGUGUCCUAGGUCCAGACUGAGCUCGAUGGAGGGCUCUAGGACGGAGGCCUCCAGGGUAAAAAAUGUAACUUGUAAGUGUGGAAAACUGUACUGACAGAAAUUUUACAAAACUACAUUAAGGGUUAUGAAAUGACUUAGCCAAAGAUUUGAAGAAAAAUAAGCAAAUUUUAAAAUGAGGCAUUUCAUAAACCCC
This 1247-nucleotide long non-coding RNA is filed under the name Homo sapiens (human). Its description in RNAcentral is "HSALNT0391056". The record is from RNAcentral. Lineage: Eukaryota; Metazoa; Chordata; Mammalia; Primates; Hominidae.